UAAAGUCAAACUCGUCUCGACGCAGAGACAGUGUGGAUAAUAACGUAUUGCAGGAGUCAGGACUUUUCCACGGUGAUUCACAUUCAGCUUUCACUUAAGGCAAGAUGGAAGAAAGGAGGACACCAAGAUAAGAAGAUCAAGGAGAUACAGAAAGCUAAAUUUGACAAGGGUCAACAGACCAGACAGCUCUCCCACAGCCAGCCUGAGAACCUGUUUUAUGGUCUGAAUAGCCUGGGUGAAGACUCGUGCAUCAGAUGGCUGAGAAAAGGAUAGCCCAGAACAAGAGGGAGCCCAGCAGAGGCUAAGAAGGAGGCAGCAAAGGAGUUCACAAACCCACAUACAGCUGAAGGAGGUACCGAAUGACAUGUGGGGUCCAUUUCAGAAAGCUGGUUUAGUGAAAACUCUGAGUUUGCUAACCCUGAGACGAGGGUAAUUCUGGGUUUUCUUUCAUUUCAUCAUUCAUUUAUCAGUCUUAAUCCGGCGCAUUUUAGCGCAGUUUGUUACCUGCAUGAAUAAAAAAACAGGGUUGGUUUAUUAACCAUGUUA
This is a long non-coding RNA of Perca fluviatilis (European perch), 546 nucleotides long. RefSeq lists it as uncharacterized. The record is from RefSeq and is a predicted model, not a curated record. NCBI's taxonomy places the organism in Eukaryota, Metazoa, Chordata, Actinopteri, Perciformes, Percidae. The transcript is spliced from 3 exons.